This 263-nucleotide unclassified non-coding RNA is filed under the name plant metagenome. Its description in RNAcentral is "partial contains small subunit ribosomal RNA, internal transcribed spacer 1, and 5.8S ribosomal RNA". The record is from RNAcentral.
UUUCCGUAGGUGAACCUGCGGAAGGAUCAUUAUUGUAUGGCCGAGGUGCGAGGGCUGUCGCUGACCCGAAAGGUCGUGCACGCCCGAGUGCCCUCACACACAUCCAUCUCACCCCUAUGUGCACCACCGCGUGGGUCCCCCUUUGGCUUGUUCGGAGGGGGGCUUACGUUUUCACACAAACUUUGUAUGCAGUGUAGAAUGUAUUUUCUGUUUUUGCGAUCACGCAAUCAAUACAACUUUCAACAACGGAUCUCUUGGCUCUC